This 502-nucleotide ribosomal RNA is filed under the name uncultured Sphingobacteriales bacterium. Its description in RNAcentral is "bacterial SSU rRNA". It matches the Rfam family "Bacterial small subunit ribosomal RNA", at positions 903 to 1382 of the family's 1533-position model. The record is from RNAcentral. Lineage: Bacteria; Pseudomonadati; Bacteroidota; Sphingobacteriia; Sphingobacteriales.
GCCAGCCCGCUCAGAAACUACAAAGGAAUUGACGGGGCCCGGCACAAGCGGAGGAGCAUGUGGUUUAAUUCGAUGAUACGCGACGGAACCUUACCUGGGCUCGAAACGUAAGAUGACUGUAGGUGAAAGCUUACAUCUCUUCGGAGCAUUUUACGAGGUGCUGCAUGGUUGUCGUCAGCCCGUGCCGUGAGGUGUCGGGUUAAGUCCCAUAACGAGCGCAACCCCUACCUUUAGUUGCCAUCAGGUUAAGCUGGGGACUCUAAAGGAACUGCCUACGCAAGUAGUGAGGAAGGUGGGGAUGACGUCAAAUCAGCACGGCCCUUACGUCCAGGGCUACACACGUGCUACAAUGGCCGAUACAGAGGGCAGCUACCUGGUGACAGGAUGCAAAUCUCCAAAGUCGGUCUCAGUUCGGAUCGGAGUCUGCAACCCGACUCCGUGAAGUUGGAUUCGCUAGUAAUCGCGCAUCAGCCAUGGCGCGGUGAAUACGUUCCCGGGUCUU